ACGACGCUGGCGGCGUGCCUAACACAUGCAAGUCGAGCGAGGAGAUCCUUCGGGAUGAUCCUAGCGGCGGACGGGUGAGUAACACGUGGGCAACCUGCCUCAUAGAGAGGAAUAGCCUUCCGAAAGGGAGAUUAAUACCUCAUAACAUUGCAGUUUCGCAUGGAACAGCAAUUAAAGGAGCAAUCCGCUAUGAGAUGGGCCCGCGGCGCAUUAGCUAGUUGGUGAGGUAACGGCUCACCAAGGCGACGAUGCGUAGCCGACCUGAGAGGGUGAUCGGCCACAUUGGGACUGAGACACGGCCCAGACUCCUACGGGAGGCAGCAGUGGGGAAUAUUGCACAAUGGGGGAAACCCUGAUGCAAGCAACGCCGCGUGAGUGAUGACGGCCUUCGGGUUGUAAACCUCUGUUGCAGGGGAAGAAGAAAGUGACGGUACCCUGCGAGGAAGCUCCGGCAAACUACGUGCCAGCAGCAGC
This 474-nucleotide ribosomal RNA is filed under the name uncultured bacterium. RNAcentral's name for it is "bacterial SSU rRNA". It matches the Rfam family "Bacterial small subunit ribosomal RNA", at positions 33 to 518 of the family's 1533-position model. The record is from RNAcentral.